Nicotiana tabacum (common tobacco) is the source of this 815-nucleotide non-coding RNA. The record is from RefSeq and is a predicted model, not a curated record. Lineage: Eukaryota; Viridiplantae; Streptophyta; Magnoliopsida; Solanales; Solanaceae.
GCCCAAUAUUCUUCUCGGGAUUGGUGUGGUAAAAAGACUUCAAUUCUCCUAUAAAUACUCACCCUUUGUUUCUCUUCUCUACGCUUCACUCCUUCCUAUCUAUAAUUAAACUUACACAAAAACUCUUCCUUUUCUCAAGAAACCCUAUUUAGGGUUAAAUAUGGCUCUCUUUGUAUUUUUCCACAGCUUUCUUGAACUGCAUAUAUAUUAGAAAAUUCACACCAUAUAUAACCAAUUAUCAUUAUUGGAGGUGAAAAUAAAAAAAAAAAUUGUUGCGGUUCAAUAAAGUUGUGGGAAGAUACAGAUAGUGUCAAGAAAUUACAAUUCCUGAAUUUUCAGUUACAGAUUUUGAUUUUCUUUAUAUUGAUGCAUGGUUAGAUCCAUGUUUGUUUUUUGGUGAACUUUCUAUAUAUAGAAAGAAUUUUUUUUACUGUUAUUACUGACAAGUUAUUAUUGUGAUUAUUAUUGUUUUGCAGGAAAUUAAAAGGUGUUCAUAAUGAUCUACUGUUUAAGGAUCUAGUUUUAACAUAGCUGGAAUUACAGAAGUUGAUAAUGAAUACAUUCAAAGCAAUGAACAAGCCAGCAGUGAUAUUUUCUGGAGAGUUUUGUAAUUUCUUAUUAUGUUCCAAUAAUUCUCAUUAUUAAAGUUGUUAUCCUAAAAAGUAAAGAAAAGAAAAAGUUGUAAUCUUCCUUUAUUUGCUGUAAGAUUCUAGGUUAGUGCUUAAAAUUUUACGUUAGUUUAUUGGUAUUUGUUUGCUUUACUUUUAGAGGGUCAAGCUCUUCAAUUAUUCAGACACUGUUGGUUUAAAGUUAAA